This 228-nucleotide ribosomal RNA is filed under the name uncultured bacterium. RNAcentral's name for it is "partial 16S ribosomal RNA". It matches the Rfam family "Bacterial small subunit ribosomal RNA", at positions 16 to 239 of the family's 1533-position model. The record is from RNAcentral.
GACAUGGCUCAGGACGAACGCUGGCGGCGCGCCUAACACAUGCAAGUCGAACGAGAGAUGAGGAGCUUGCUCUUCAAAUCGAGUGGCGAACGGGUGAGUAACGCGUGAGGAACCUGCCUCAAAGAGGGGGACAACAGUUGGAAACGACUGCUAAUACUGCAUAAGCCCACAGCUCGGCAUCGAGCAGAGGGAAAAGGAGCGAUCCGCUUUGAGAUGGCCUCGCGUCCG